Molecule: ribosomal RNA, 452 nt
Filed under: uncultured bacterium
Lineage: Bacteria
Description: partial 16S ribosomal RNA
Rfam family: Bacterial small subunit ribosomal RNA
Source: RNAcentral
UAGGGAAUCUUCCACAAUGGACGCAAGUCUGAUGGAGCAACGCCGCGUGAGUGAAGAAGGCUUUCGGGUCGUAAAACUCUGUUAUUGAAGAAGAACGUGCGUGACAGUAACUGGUCAUGCAGUGACGGUAUUCAAUCAGAAAGUCACGGCUAACUACGUGCCAGCAGCCGCGGUAAUACGUAGGUGGCAAGCGUUGUCCGGAUUUAUUGGGCGUAAAGCGAGUGCAGGCGGUCUUUUAAGUCUGAUGUGAAAGCCUUCGGCUUAACCGAAGAAGGGCAUCGGAAACUGGGAGACUUGAGUGCAGAAGAGGAGAGUGGAACUCCAUGUGUAGCGGUGAAAUGCGUAGAUAUAUGGAAGAACACCAGUGGCGAAGGCGGCUCUCUGGUCUGUAACUGACGCUGAGGCUCGAAAGCGUGGGUAGCAAACAGGAUUAGAUACCCUGGUAGUCCACG